AUUGCCUGAGAAAAUUUUACCGAAGACUCAAUUCUUAUAUAGAUUGGAACAUAGUUUUGACUCCGUUGUAAUCUUGGCUAUUGCUUUACAGCUUCAGCAAUUGCCGUAAGGCCAGCGGUAGAUCAUUAGUUUAGGCAUUUUUACUGGACUACCACACUGUGCAAGUUCAACAUUGUGAUUUAAAAAAAAUGCUACAAUUUAUUGUUUUAAUUUUUUUUAUUUCUGAUUUUUAUCUCCAAUCACAAGAAUUUGCGUAGAGUUUUUGAGAUGUUUUGCAAUUCAUUUUGAUGACAUCUUUAGUAAUCUGAUAAUU
Teleopsis dalmanni is the source of this 313-nucleotide small nucleolar RNA. The record is from RefSeq and is a predicted model, not a curated record. NCBI's taxonomy places the organism in Eukaryota, Metazoa, Arthropoda, Insecta, Diptera, Diopsidae.